CAGCUGCACUGGGAAACACUGGCAGCAAGAGAGACACACACAGAGUGGAGUUGUUGCCGGUCUGCCAGCCUGCCACAUGCCACAAAUGAAAUGCCUGGCAUGGCAUUUCGUCUAGGGCAAAUCGCCUCGUAUCGUUUCAAAGUGUUGCCAUGGCCAGUGUUAACCAGUGUUGAGUAAGUCACUUAUUAAGUGUCAUCUCCAUGUCGCCAAAGGCGCCGCCUCGCGCCAAAAUGCAAAUGAUAAACUGACAGCCUUAUGACAGCAUUAAGCAAAUUGCUCACCAACCGCCCAGACGAUAAGCAGACAGAAAGACAGACAGACCAAGAGAGACUGGAAUGGAAGAUGCAGAUGGGGCAGACGCACAAGUGGAGUUAACGAUUGGCUUAAUAAAAUGAAAUAUUAAAUGCGAUUAAAAACGCAGAGGACGACGACAACGACAACAGCGAGACGACAACGUGGAAAGGAAGGCGACGAUGCAAUAAAUAUAUUGGGGAACAGGACAAACAGCUACUGGACUUGUGUGUGGAUGCUACAAACAGCACGACAGACGUAGCAGCAGCAGCACAAUUCCAGCUCCAGCUCCAGUUCCAGUUCGAGUUUGCGCCUCUCUCUCUCUCUCUACCCCCCGAAAGACAUGAUAAAAAUGUGAAAUGCAUGCGUUCAUUAAAUUAAUGCGCAUGGGGCAAGGUGAAGGCAACGUAAGGCAAUCCAUGGCUGCAGCUCCUGUGACUGCGCCUGAACAGAUAAUUAAAUGCGUGUUUGUGGCAUGGUCUGUGGGCAAUGGGGCAAGGUGCUCGUAAUGACAUUAAAUAUGUUUAAACAUGCAUAAAUAAAAGGAGGCCUGAACUCGAACCCGAACAA
RNAcentral lists this long non-coding RNA (861 nucleotides) under Drosophila guanche. Lineage: Eukaryota; Metazoa; Arthropoda; Insecta; Diptera; Drosophilidae. The record is from RNAcentral.